UAAUACGUAGGGUGCGAGCGUUAAUCGGAAUUACUGGGCGUAAAGCGUGCGCAGGCGGUUCGUUAAGUCUGAUGUGAAAGCCCCGGGCUCAACCUGGGAAUGGCAUUGGAAACUGGCGGGCUUGAGUGUGGCAGAGGGGGGUGGAAUUCCGCGUGUAGCAGUGAAAUGCGUAGAGAUGCGGAGGAACACCGAUGGCGAAGGCAGCCCCCUGGGCUAACACUGACGCUCAGGCACGAAAGCGUGGGGAGCAAACAGG
Molecule: ribosomal RNA, 256 nt
Filed under: uncultured bacterium
Lineage: Bacteria
Description: partial 16S ribosomal RNA
Rfam family: Bacterial small subunit ribosomal RNA
Source: RNAcentral